AUUCAAAUAGCUUAUAUUUAGAGCAUGACACUGAAGUUGUUAACGAGAUUUUUGUAAUCUUUGAAUA
This 67-nucleotide transfer RNA is filed under the name Panorpa fulvastra. Its description in RNAcentral is "tRNA-Phe". The record is from RNAcentral. Lineage: Eukaryota; Metazoa; Arthropoda; Insecta; Mecoptera; Panorpidae.